ACUCAAAUGAAUUGACGGGGGCCCGCACAAGCGGUGGAGCAUGUGGUUCAAUUCGACGCAACGCGAAGAACCUUACCUGGGCUCGAACGGCCGGUCAACGGCGGUGGAAACAUCGCUACCCCGCAAGGGGGUCCGGUCGAGGUGCUGCAUGGCUGUCGUCAGCUCGUGUCGUGAGAUGUUGGGUUAAGUCCCGCAACGAGCGCAACCCUCGUCCUGUGUUGCCACCCCGCAAGGGAGCACUCGCAGGAGACCGCCAGCGAUAAGUUGGAGGAAGGUGGGGAUGACGUCAAGUCCUCAUGGCCUUUAUGUCCAGGGCUACACACGUGCUACAAUGGCCGGUACAAAGGGCAGCGAACCCGCGAGGGGGAGCCAAUCCCAAAAAACCGGUCUCAGUUCGGAUUGCAGGCUGCAACUCGCCUGCAUGAAGCUGGAAUCGCUAGUAAUGGCAGAUCAGCACGCUGCCGUGAAUACGUUCCCGGGCCUUGCACACACCGCCCGU
RNAcentral lists this ribosomal RNA (499 nucleotides) under uncultured bacterium. Its description in RNAcentral is "partial 16S ribosomal RNA". It matches the Rfam family "Bacterial small subunit ribosomal RNA", at positions 899 to 1397 of the family's 1533-position model. The record is from RNAcentral.